This 468-nucleotide ribosomal RNA is filed under the name uncultured bacterium. Its description in RNAcentral is "partial 16S ribosomal RNA". It matches the Rfam family "Bacterial small subunit ribosomal RNA", at positions 28 to 507 of the family's 1533-position model. The record is from RNAcentral.
GACGAACGCUGGCGGUGUGCUUAACACAUGCAAGUCGAACGGAAAGGCCCUGCUUUUGUGGGGUGCUCGAGUGGCGAUCGGGUGAGUAACACGUGAGUAACCUGCCCUUGACUUUGGGAUAACUUCAGGUAACUGGGGUUAAUCCCGGAUAGGAGCUCCUGCUGCAUGGUGGGCGUUGGAAAGUUUCGGCUGUUGGGGUUGGAUUCGCGGCUUAUCAGCUUGUUGGUGGGGUAGUGGCUUACCAAGGCUUUGACGGGUAGCCGACCUGAGUGGGUGACCGGCGACAUGGGGACUAAGGGACGGCGCAGACUCGUACGGGAGGCAGCAGGGGGGAAUAUUGCACAAUGGGCGGAAGUCUGAGGCAACGACGCCGGGGGCGGAAUGACGUCCUUCGGGUAGUAAACAGCUUUCGGCUGUGACGAAGCGUGAGUGACGGUAAUGAGAAAAGAAGCACCGGCUAACUACGUG